Long non-coding RNA from Ctenopharyngodon idella (grass carp), 1188 nucleotides. RefSeq lists it as uncharacterized. NCBI's taxonomy places the organism in Eukaryota, Metazoa, Chordata, Actinopteri, Cypriniformes, Xenocyprididae. The transcript is spliced from 2 exons. The record is from RefSeq and is a predicted model, not a curated record.
UGUCGUGAGCUCCAUGAAUGUGACAGGAUAUUAAGGAGGUGGAGUCAUCAUUAUAUGCAAAUAUGAGGAAACAUAUAAAGCAAAUGCAAAGUAUUUCUGUAGAGAUGAUCAGAGACAUGCAUGCUCUGACCUCAUCAAGACUGAGACUAAAGAUAAGAGGAUUCAUUCUGGAAGAUUCUCUCUAUGACAACACAAGUGCAGCAGUCCUGAAAGUGACCAUCAGAGAUCUGAGUGAACAGGAUUCUGGGACGUACUACUGUGUGGUUAAUAAAACUAGAGAACAAGAUUUCUACACUGAAGUGAAUCUGAAGGUUAUAAGAGAUCAGCAAAUCAGGAGUGUGAGAGGAUAUUCAGGAGGAAAUGUUACUAAUGUUACUACCAUGUGAAAUAUUUCUGUAAAACUGCAGCAGAUCAAUGUUUCACUGUAAUAAACUCUAACAGAGCAGCAGAAUGGGAACAGGACAGACGAUUCUCCGUUCAUGAUGACAGAUCUGCAGGUCUCUUGUGUUCAGAGAUCUAAAUGUCGAUGAUUCUGGAAAAUACAGAAUUACAGUCAAAGCUUCUGAAGACUACAGUUUCUUCUCCGAGUUUAGUGAGACGCUUUCAGUCAUUUAUUCAUUGUUUGACAGAAUCCAUGAAUAUAUCUGGUAAGUCUAACAUUGCUGCACUUUAUUUUGAUCUGCAAUUAAAAAUAAUUAAUUUCAUAUUACUACAGUAAAGCAUUAGUGUGGUAAUUUGGACACAGUAUUACUACAGUGUUUUAACUGCAGUUAAUGGUGUUCAUCCAGUAACAUUAUGUAGUGUAUUAUUCAGUGUGAAAUCAUAGGCUUAAGUUCCAGAAACUCAAACAAACAGCUUGCAGAUCUGUUUUCUAAGUGUCUGUGUAUCAGCAAACAUGAAUUCUGGGUAGUGAGUCUGUGAAUGACAUCAGUAACAAGUGUCUGUAUCAUGAGAAAAGUGUCAAGUUCUAGGUGUGAAAAAAAAAGAAAAAAAAAAAAAACAUUUAGAAAUUCAUUGUUUUAUUGUUUUUUAAAAAAAAGUGAUUGAUUUAUCUGGUCAGACAGAUGUGCAGUAAACAGAGUUCAAGAUGAACAUUUACCAUUUUUUAUUUUUUUUUUUCUGUAAAGCUGCUUUGAAGCAAUAUUUAAUGUGAAAAACAAACUAAAAAUAAAAUGAUCUCACUCUUAA